Molecule: ribosomal RNA, 272 nt
Filed under: uncultured bacterium
Lineage: Bacteria
Description: partial 16S ribosomal RNA
Rfam family: Bacterial small subunit ribosomal RNA
Source: RNAcentral
UACAGAGGGUGCAAGCGUUAAUCGGAAUUACUGGGCGUAAAGCGCGCGUAGGUGGUUCGUUUAAGUUGGAUGUGAAAGCCCCGGGCUCAACCUGGGAACUGCAUCCAAAACUGGCGAGCUAGAGUAUGGGUAGAGGGUGGUGGAAUUUCCUGUGUAGCGGUGAAAUGCGUAGAUAUAGGAAGGAACACCAGUGGCGAAGGCGACCACCUGGACUGAUACUGACACUGAGGUGCGAAAAGCGUGGGGAGCAAACAGGAUUAGAUACACGGUAC